GCGGAGGAAAAGAAACCAACAGGGAUUGCCUCAGUAGCGGCGAGUGAAGCGGCAAAAGCUCAAAUUUGAAAUCUGGCGUCUUUGGCGUCCGAGUUGUAAUUUGAAGAAGGUAUCUUUGGGCCCGGCUCUUGUCUAUGUUCCUUGGAACAGGACGUCACAGAGGGUGAGAAUCCCGUGCGAUGAGAUGACCCGGGUCUGUGUAAAGUUCCUUCGACGAGUCGAGUUGUUUGGGAAUGCAGCUCUAAGUGGGUGGUAAAUUCCAUCUAAAGCUAAAUAUUGGCGAGAGACCGAUAGCGAACAAGUACAGUGAUGGAAAGAUGAAAAGAACUUUGAAAAGAGAGUGAAAAAGUACGUGAAAUUGUUGAAAGGGAAGGGCUUGAGAUCAGACUUGGUAUUUUGCAUGCUGCUCUCUCGGGGGCGGCCGCUGCGGUUUACCGGGCCAGCAUCGGUUUGGAGCGGCAGGAUAAUGGCGGAGGAAUGUGGCACGGCUUCUGCUGUGUGUUAUAGCCUCUGACGAUACUGCCAGCCUAGACCGAGGACUGCGG
Molecule: ribosomal RNA, 545 nt
Filed under: Candida albicans
Lineage: Eukaryota; Fungi; Ascomycota; Pichiomycetes; Serinales; Debaryomycetaceae
Description: LSU rRNA
Rfam family: Eukaryotic large subunit ribosomal RNA
Source: RNAcentral